This 73-nucleotide transfer RNA is filed under the name Kouleothrix aurantiaca. It matches the Rfam family "tRNA". Rfam says of the family: Transfer RNA (tRNA) molecules are approximately 80 nucleotides in length. Their secondary structure includes four short double-helical elements and three loops (D, anti-codon, and T loops). Lineage: Bacteria; Bacillati; Chloroflexota; Chloroflexia; Chloroflexales; Roseiflexaceae. The record is from Rfam by way of RNAcentral.
GCCGUUGUGGCGUAGAAGGUCUGCGCACUCGCCUGAAACGCGAGGGGUUCAGGAUCGUUACCUGACGACGGCA